RNAcentral lists this unclassified non-coding RNA (2630 nucleotides) under Homarus americanus (American lobster). Its description in RNAcentral is "transportin-1-like, transcript variant X2". The record is from RNAcentral. Lineage: Eukaryota; Metazoa; Arthropoda; Malacostraca; Decapoda; Nephropidae.
GCCUCCCUCACCGGCCCUAAACAUGGGGUGGAAUCCAGACACUGAUGCUUUAACCCAGAUUUUAGGAUUACUACGCGAAUCACAAUCCCCGGACACGGUAGUUCAACAAUCAGUGCAACAGAAACUAGAAGAACUCAACAAAUUCACAGACUUCAACAAAUAUCUUAUAUUUGUCCUCACAAAACUAACUUCCGAAGAUGAACCUACGAGAUCUCUCAGUGGGCUAAUUUUGAAGAAUAAUGUCAAGGCACAUUUUCACCAGUUCCCCCCUGAUGUGGCACAAUUUAUUAAGGCGGAAUGUUUGUCGGCCGUGGGGGAUCCGUCUCCUCUCAUCCGGGCGACGGUGGGCAUCCUCAUCACGACGACAGCAUCCAAAGGCGAACUAUCCACGUGGCCCGAGCUCCUCCCUAGACUAUGCGAGAUGCUGGACUCUGCGGACUACAACGUGUGCGAGGGAGCGUUCGGGGCGCUACAGAAGAUAUGUGAGGACAGCGCUGAAUUCCUAGAGAAGUCCCCCGAUCGGCCGCUAGACUCGCUAAUUCCUAAGUUUCUUCAGUUCUUCAAACACACGUCAUCGAAAAUUAGAUCUCAUGCCAUUGCCUGCGUCAAUCAGUUUAUAAUUAGCAAAACUCAAGCUCUCAUGGCAAACAUUGACCCCUUUCUACAGAAUCUGUUCCACCUGGCGAUGGACGAUGACCCCGACGUGCGGAAGAACGUGUGCCGGGCGCUGGUCAUGUUGCUGGACGCUCACAUCUCCUCCCUCAUUCCUCAUAUGCACAACAUUAUUGAAUAUAUGAUGAUUAGAACACAGGACCCCGACGAGAACGUGGCUCUGGAAGCGUGCGAGUUCUGGCUCUCCCUGGCAGAACACCCCAUCUGUAAAGAGGCCCUCAAGCCGCACCUACCCAAGUUGAUACCCAUCCUAGUCAGGGGGAUGAAGUACUCUGAGAUUGACAUCAUUCUUCUGAAGGGCGACGUGGAGGAGGACGAGAGUGUGCCGGACCGCAGUGAAGACAUCAAGCCCAGGUUCCACAAGUCUAGGCACACGAUCCGACACGAGCCUAUGGAGAACGGUGGCAGCGGAGAGGAGUUCCCCGACGAUGAAUCGGACGACGGCCUGGACGACGAUUCCUCCUUAUCGGACUGGAAUUUGAGAAAGUGCUCGGCGGCUGCCCUAGACGUGCUGGCCAACGUGUUCCGGGAAGAUAUGUUGCCAGUCAUCCUCCCCAUACUGAAGGAGACGCUGUUUCACCAGGAGUGGGAGAUACGCGAAUCGGGAAUCCUCGCUCUAGGGGCUAUCGCAGAAGGGUGUAUGAAUGGUAUGACCCAACACCUGCCUGAGCUGAUCCCUUACCUGAUCAGUUGCCUCCAGGACAGGAAGGCGCUGGUCCGCUCCAUCACCUGCUGGACUCUCUCUCGUUACUGUCACUGGGCGGUGGUGCUCCCCGAUCACACCUUCCUCAAGCCUUUAAUGUAUGAGCUCCUGAAAUGCGUUUUGGACAGCAACAAGCGAGUGCAGGAGGCAGCGUGCUCAGCCUUCGCCACCCUAGAGGAGGAAGCGUGCACGGAGUUAGUCCCUUACCUGGCCGACAUCCUCAAAACAUUAGUCUUUGCUUUUAAGAAAUAUCAGGCCAAAAAUCUGUUGAUACUGUACGACGCAAUUGGGACGUUAGCGGACUCGGUGGGGAACUAUCUGAACAAGGAAGAGUACAUUCAGAUGCUGAUGCCUCCUCUGAUCGAGAAGUGGAACGUACUCAAGGACGAGGAUAAGGACUUGUUCCCCCUACUGGAGUGUCUGUCCAGUGUGGCUACGGCUCUCCAGUCUGGCUUCUUGCCAUAUUGUGGACCAGUGUAUCAGAGGUGUGUGUCCCUAGUGGAGCAAACACUCAAUCAGACAAUGGCUCACGCGCAGAACCCGGGGCAGUUCGAGGCGGCCGAUAAGGACUUCAUGAUAGUGUCCCUUGAUCUGCUGUCGGGACUAGCGGAGGGUCUGAACGGGCAUGUGGGGCAGCUGGUCCAGCAGUCGAACAUCAUGCAGCUGCUGUAUCAGGCCAUGCAGGACCCCAUGCCAGAAGUUAGACAAAGCUCCUUUGCUCUACUCGGUGAUCUGACCAAAGCAUGUUUCCAGUAUGUGGCUCCUUGUAUAUCUGAAUUUAUGCCUAUUCUUGGUCAGAACUUGAACCCUGAGUUAAUAUCAGUGUGCAACAACGCGACCUGGGCCAUAGGUGAAAUUUCAGUUAAACUAGGGCCAGAAAUGCGUGUGUAUAUAAAUCUCGUCCUGAACGACCUGAUCUUCAUCAUUAACAAACCUAACACGCCCAAGACCUUGCUGGAGAACACAGGUGCAUCUCCUUGCGCAACAUCCGAGACAACGAGGAGAAGGACUCGGCGUUCCGCGGGGUGUGUAACAUGAUCAGCGUCAACCCCGGGGGUGUAGUGGAGGACUUCAUAUUCUUCUGUGAUGCCAUAGCCUCCUGGAUCAACCCCAAGCAAGACCUUAAAGAAAUGUUCCAUAAGAUACUCCACUGUUUCAAGGAACAGGUGGGAGAGGAGAACUGGAAGCGCUUUACGGAACAGUUCCCGCCUCCACUGAAGGAACGCUUGACUCAGCAUUACGGAGUGUGAAGCAG